CAGGCCACUAGGUACUUCUUGACACUGCUAGGACGAAAGCGUGGGGAGAGAAUGGGAUUAGAUACCCCAGUAUUCCACGCCCCUAAACGAUGAGUGCUUGCUUUUAGGAGGAGUCAAUCCCUCUUAGAGGCAAAAGCUAACGCUAUAAGCACUCCGCCUGUAGAUUACGAUCGCAAGAUUAAAACAUAAAGGAAUUGACGGGAACCCGCACAAGUGGUGGAUCAUGCGGUUUAAUUCGACUCUAAACGAGGAACCUCACCAAGGUUUGACAUGUUAAUGCUAAUCCUAUGAAAGUAGGACUCCUUCGAGGGUUUAACACAGAUGAUGCACGGUCGUCGUCAGCUCGUGUCGUGAGAUGUUCGGUUAAGUCCGAAAACGAGCGCAACCCCUAUCUUUAGUUAUUUAAUGUCUAAAGACACUGCCCAGGAUUAACUGGGAGGAAGGCAGGGAUGACGUCAGAUCAGCGUGUCUCUUACACCUUGGGCUACACGCAUGAUACAAUGGGAAUGGUACAACGGGACGCCAAGCGGUAACGCGGAGCAAAUCCUCUAAAACCACCCUAAGUACGGAUUGAGGUCUGCAACUCGACCUCAUGAAGCUGGAAUCACUAGUAAUCGCGAAUCAGCCUCGUCGCGGUGAAUACGUUCUCGGGUUUUGUACACACUGCCCGUCACGGCCUGGAAAUUGGAUGAGCCCCAAAACAUCAUUUAUGGUGAGAAG
This 720-nucleotide ribosomal RNA is filed under the name uncultured bacterium. Its description in RNAcentral is "bacterial SSU rRNA". It matches the Rfam family "Bacterial small subunit ribosomal RNA", at positions 722 to 1452 of the family's 1533-position model. The record is from RNAcentral.